This 112-nucleotide non-coding RNA is filed under the name Maledivibacter halophilus. RNAcentral describes it as "Clostridium halophilum TPP sequence". It matches the Rfam family "TPP riboswitch aptamer (THI element)". Rfam says of the family: Vitamin B(1) in its active form thiamin pyrophosphate (TPP) is an essential coenzyme that is synthesised by coupling of pyrimidine and thiazole moieties in bacteria. Lineage: Bacteria; Bacillati; Bacillota; Clostridia; Peptostreptococcales; Caminicellaceae. The record is from Rfam by way of RNAcentral.
UUAAUAACAAUGGGGAGUUAGAUGAAUCUGGCUGAGAGGAAGCUAUAUUGCUUCGACCCGUAUUACCUGAACUGGAUAAUGCCAGCGGAGGGAAAAUAUUGUCUGUUUAUUU